GGGCUCCGGAGGGCUGCAGCCAUCUUAUUGUAACCCUAACCUUUGUGAGGCGUAGGUGCAGUGCUUUUGUUCCCCGCGUGUUGUUUUUCUCGCUGACUUUCAGCGCGCGGAAAAGCCAUGCCCUGCUGCCAAUCGUCGUGGAUGUCCGUUUACCAAACCAAAAAAUGUCAGCUGCUGGCUCGCUUGCCCUUUCCGGGAGCCUGCGGUAGCCGCUCGCCCGGCCGGGCACCCCGCCUAAGGCCGCGGUAGGCCGGGCGCCUCCCCGGAGGCGCCCAUCGCCACCGCGAAGAGUUCGUCUCUGUCAGCCGCGGGGCCCUGGGGGCCGACCGUGUAUGGCUGGCCGCAGGCAGAGAAACCGAGCCGGCACCCACGCGGCGCUUCCCUGAGCUGUGGGGCUUGCACCUGGGACCGGCUCGGACAUUU
Unclassified non-coding RNA from Erinaceus europaeus (western European hedgehog), 423 nucleotides. Its record names the gene Telomerase-vert. It matches the Rfam family "Vertebrate telomerase RNA". From Rfam's summary of the family: Telomerase is a ribonucleoprotein reverse transcriptase that synthesises telomeric DNA. Telomerase RNAs differ greatly in sequence and structure between vertebrates, ciliates and yeasts, but they share a 5' pseudoknot structure close to the template sequence. Vertebrate telomerase RNAs have a 3' H/ACA snoRNA-like domain. The record is from Ensembl. NCBI's taxonomy places the organism in Eukaryota, Metazoa, Chordata, Mammalia, Eulipotyphla, Erinaceidae.